ACCUAAUAGAUACCCGGGUAGUCCACGCCCUAAACUAUGUCAACUAGUUGUUGGGAGAGUUAAAUCUCUUAGUAAACGCAGCUAAACGCGUGAAGUUGACCGCCUGGGGAGUACGGCCGCAAGGUUAAAACUCAAAGGAAUUGACGGGGACCCGCACAAGCGGUGGAUUAUGUGGAUUAAUUCGAUGCAACGCGAAAAACCUUACCUACCCUUGACAUGUACGGAACGGGGCAGAGACGUCCCGGUGCCCGAAAGGGAACCGUAACACAGGUGCUGCAUGGCUGUCGUCAGCUCGUGUCGUGAGAUGUUGGGUUAAGUCCCGCAACGAGCGCAACCCUUACCAUUAGUUGCUACAUUCAGUUGGGCACUCUAAUGGGACUGCCGGUGACAAACCGGAGGAAGGUGGGGAUGACGUCAAGUCCUCAUGGCCCUUAUGGGUAGGGCUUCACACGUAAUACAAUGGCCGGUACAGAGGGUUGCCAACCCGCGAGGGGAGCCAAUCCCAGAAAGCCGGUCGUAGUCCGGAUUGUUCUCUGCAACUCGAGAGCAUGAAGUCGGAAUCGCUAGUAA
RNAcentral lists this ribosomal RNA (570 nucleotides) under uncultured bacterium. RNAcentral describes it as "bacterial SSU rRNA". It matches the Rfam family "Bacterial small subunit ribosomal RNA", at positions 772 to 1341 of the family's 1533-position model. The record is from RNAcentral.